UACGGAGGGGGCUAGCGUUGUUCGGAAUUACUGGGCGUAAAGCGCACGUAGGCGGCUUGAAAAGUUGGAGGUGAAAGCCCAGAGCUCAACUCUGGAAUUGCCUUCAAAACUCUCAAGCUAGAGUUCGGAAGAGGAGAGUGGAAUUCCCAGUGUAGAGGUGAAAUUCGUAGAUAUUGGGAAGAACACCAGUGGCGAAGGCGGCUUCUGCG
This 209-nucleotide ribosomal RNA is filed under the name uncultured bacterium. RNAcentral's name for it is "partial 16S ribosomal RNA". It matches the Rfam family "Bacterial small subunit ribosomal RNA", at positions 524 to 733 of the family's 1533-position model. The record is from RNAcentral.